UACGUAGGGUGCGAGCGUUGUCCGGAAUUAUUGGGCGUAAAGGGCUCGUAGGCGGUUUGUCGCGUCGGGAGUGAAAACUCGGGGCUUAACCCCGGGCCUGCAGUGGGUACGGGCAGACUAGAGUGCGGUAGGGGAGACUGGAAUUCCUGGUGUAGCGGUGAAAUGCGCAGAUAUCAGGAGGAACACCGGUGGCGAAGGCGGUUCUCUGGGCCUGUACUGACGCUGAGGAGCGAAAGCGUGGGGAGCGAACAGG
This 253-nucleotide ribosomal RNA is filed under the name uncultured bacterium. RNAcentral's name for it is "partial 16S ribosomal RNA". It matches the Rfam family "Bacterial small subunit ribosomal RNA", at positions 524 to 776 of the family's 1533-position model. The record is from RNAcentral.